RNAcentral lists this long non-coding RNA (9282 nucleotides) under Mytilus galloprovincialis (Mediterranean mussel). The record is from RNAcentral. Lineage: Eukaryota; Metazoa; Mollusca; Bivalvia; Mytilida; Mytilidae.
UUUGUGUCAUUGCACGGUGAUUGCAAUUUAGCAUGGCCUACACGAGUGUGGUGCUGCUUAAUAUUUGCACACAUUUCCCCGAUGACAACAAAGUAGAUAACUGGUUCAUUUGAAAUGUGUCUGGCGUAUAAAAUUAUAAUCCUGGUACUUUUGAUAACUAUUAGAACAUGUUUUUAUAAUUUCGGAUUAUACCCCUCCCCCUCUUUUAUUUUCAUACUCUAUGAAGACCAAAAGCAGACAAAUAAUUGUGGAAUAACGGAAUCAACUCUUUAACAUUUUUUGCCUAUACCAUAUCUUUAAAAUUAAUGUAAAUCCUAUUCAUCAUAUUAAUUUUUUUUUUAUAUUCAAUAAGAUCAUUCCAUGAGUCGAAUGUGUUUUUAAUGUUUUAAAUUUCUAUCCGCGUCUACUUUGAAAACAGGGUUUUCUCGAGGAUUUCAUCAUACAGUCUAUCCUGCCUAUUCUCUUCCAUCUUUACUCUAAAACUAGUAUGACAGUAUUGUACAGUUGCCUGUAAAGUAAGACAACACAAUUAUAAUUCAUCAGGUGAGAAACCGCAUGACUAACUGACUAAUGAUUGGUAUAAUGUUUGUUGACUGCAAUGUGUGUUUCAAAAGGGUUUAAGUAUUUAUAGAAAAUGUAUCAAAAAGAACAAAACAACCUUAACAUGAUCAAUAAAAAAAAAUUGUUCUUGUGGUUUCGUGUUGUAAUAAUAAAAAUGUGUACAAUUUAAAACCCCUUUUAAGCAAUAAUUGGUACAUUUUAUAACAUGUACACAAUCGCAACUUGUACGCGACAUUUAUACCAAUAUAACAGUAUCCAAAGAUCUAUUGACUGUGUUGAAUUGAAUUUUAGAAGAAAUUUAUUUCAAGGAUCGAUAGUUUUACCAGGAUCUUUACCAAAAUUUUCGAACACGAUAAACAUCAUCGGUGUAAAAAUGAGGAUGUGCUAUCCCGUUUGACAUAAGUUUUCUACAGGUACAGCCAAACUUCAAAACAAAAUAGUUAUAUCUACGUAAAAAUUUAGUAAAAGUUUUAAGUAAUUUGUGAUAACAAAAUCCAAGUCUUAAUAAAUAACCAGUAAUACGUACAUUACGUUCAAUGAUGUUUAUAAAAAAUAUAUAAUAACCAUGUUUAUAUUAUACAUGUUCUUUUUUCAGUAUUAUUACACAUAUUAUGUACGAUAACUUAUAUGAAAUGUAAACGACUACGAAAUUUUCAGUUUGAUGUGUGUGUUUUAAUGUAACAAAUGAUCAAUGUUUACCAUGUUUACCUGUACAACAUAGUUAUUGGACAUUUACCCUGUACUAUCUUUGAUAUUUAAGAAUAAAUCAUGAUUCUUUCUAUGAAAUUAUUAUAGGUUGCAUUUCUGUAAAUAUUGACAAUGCAAUUUCCCAUAGGAACUCCUUUUACGGCUAAAACUGUACCACUUUUACUAUGAAGUUUGAAAAAAAUCUUAUCCUAGAAUUGAAAGUUCAAUUUGCACCACAAUUUUUUUCAAAGGUCAAAAUAUAGGGCUGUGCGGCAUAUUUUCAACGUUUAUAUGCCCGAACUUCUCAGAGUUGAAACUUACACUUAUUUUCUUAACUACCCCUACCUCGAAUGAAAGGUUACUACAGAUUUCAAUGUAAACAAUAAGCACGUGUUUAUUUACUGGUAACAUUCCCCAGUUCUGUCUCUGCGAUAUGGAACACAGAGAGCAUAACUGGGAACCAGUAUGUAAACAAAAUUAAUUUUCUAUGAAUAUUCUAUUUCUCCCCAAAAGAGGCGUGUUGUCAGAAACAGCUGUCUUUACAAAGUGCAACCUAUACAGACAUUUAUUCAAAUAGAAAACUCUCUAAAAUCAGUUUUUCUCACAUUAUGACUCAUUUAUCAGAAUUAUAGUCUUAAAGAAAUCACUGUGUAUACUCUAAGUUUUUCUUUACUAUACAUUUUAUACCCCCUCCCCUGUUGCAAUUUUUUUAAAGAAUUUGAAAAUAAGACUUUAAUUAUUGCCAGCUUACCCUUUUUACAUAUUUUCUGAUAAAAAAUGCCUAGAACCUGAUUAAAACUGUUUUGAUAACAUAUUGAAAGCAUAUCAGAAUAUUAUAAAUGUAAUGUUUAGCAGUCAAUCAUCACAACAUUCAAGAUUAUAUAAAGUAUCCAAUCCAGCCUCUGUCUCCAGUCCACAUCUUACUGUAUACCUAUUUGUCAAUUAAAGAACACAUUUUCUGCCUCAAAUGGUCAAUUUAGAAUUCUUGUCACAACAGUAUCAUCUGUAACCAUAUAUCUGACACAAUUUAGCUACUAUAUAUACUAGAAGUGUUCAAACAAAGCCAUAUUUGCAAUAGUUGUAUGUAUGCAGAUACCAGUCUGAGAUAUAAAUUCACUUAAAAUGUUGUAGAGAUGACUGCUAACAUUUGAUUUUUGCAUAACUUCCAAACAUAGUUAUUGUUACUAUAUCAAGAACAUUAAAAUCAGAAAAUCAUACCAUUUACAAGUUAAAUUAUUUGUUUUAUGACCCAGGGGGUAGGCAAUUUUCUAUGUUUUUUUGCCCCUGGGGCCUCAAAUUUCCUAAAUCAUUCUGCUGUUUCUAGCAAUUUGAAAUAUUUAGUACAUAUUCAGGAUAGAACACACUAUUGUAAGUUUUCUUGAGAUAUAUUUUUGUUUUUCUAGCUUGUAUUUGUUAUGCCGUGGUGACAAAAAAGAAGAAUUAGGUGUUGCGGCUUAAUUUUGGGUUAUCGAAAGGACACAAAUACUCCAUAAAUAAUAUUCAGGAAGGAUCUAUGAGUUUCAAUGACUGCGAAGAGUAAAUAUAAGCACUUUUUAACAAUUUAACUUACAAAUAUGCAAAUGUUAUGAAUUAAUUUUGUAUCCAGGACUUUAAGUAAACUAUGCAUACUGUAAUCUGUGAAUUUAUGCUGAGUCAUCAUAUCUAAGGCCCAGGAUUCUAUCAAUCUUCAUUAAAUAUUUAUAAAACUUCAUAUUUGAGUUAAUUUCUUUAAAAUCUGUGAAAUAAAGCAAAUUUGUUUAAAUUCUGAAUGUUCCCCUUUUUCAGCCUAUAUAGGUUGCAUUUCUGUAAAUAUUGACAAUGCAAUUUCCCAUAGGAACUCCUUUUACGGCUAAAACUGUACCACUUUUACUAUGAAGUUUUGAAAAAAAAUCUUAUCCUAGAAUUGAAAGUUCAUUUGCACCACAAUUUUUUUCAAAGGUCAAAAUAUAGGGCUGUGCGGCAUAUUUUUCAACGUUUAUAUGCCCCGAACUUCUCAGAGUUGAAACUUACACUUAUUUUCUUAAUUACCCCUACCUCGAAUGAAAGGUUACCACAGAUUUCAAUGUAAACAAUAAGCACGUGUUUAUUUACUGGUAACAUUCCCCAGUUCUGUCUCUGCGAUAUGGAACACAGAGAGCAUAACUGGGAACCAGUAUGUAAACAAAAUUAAUUUUCUAUGAAUAUUCUAUUUCUCCCCAAAAGAGGCGUGUUGUCAGAAACAGCUGUAUUUACAAAGUGCAACCUAUAAAACAAUGGAAAUAUUUCCAAAACUCACCAAUACUGAGUUGAAAUCCUUCUGCUCUCAUCAUCAAUACAAGUGGUAUGCUUUAAUCAUGCGAUCAUUACAACUUUAACAUGAAAUUUUUUGAUAAAGGUUAAAGUCAGCGAUUAAACUCUCAACAAUAUCGGACAAUAGAUAGUACAACUUCCGUAAUUACGCAAUAUGAUAAAGACUACAAAAACAAAUUGUCAAAUUCAAUGUAUUGUAUAACUAACCAUAUCUUAUAGAUAUAUUUUUACUGUAUAAUUUUCCUGGUUAAACAGUUACUUUUUUAUAGGGAUAAUCAACUGAAUGCCGUGAGUCGAGUAAGUUGUACAAACAGCACAGAAAUGUACAAAUAAGAUUUAUUUUACCCAACAAAACUUAAAAUUUAAAACGUCACAACAGAUACGACGGGCAUGGUGAACUCUUGUGAAACAUAAACACCGUAAGAUGGUGUCGACGGAACAUCACCAUACAAAAAGGAAAAUUAACAAUAUUGAACGAAAAAUCGUCUCUUUUGCAGUAUAUUUUAGUGUGGAGUUUCCUGUGUAAAACAGAAAAGUUUGAAUCUAUGCAACAACAGUUAUCAGCAAUUGAAUUUGAUUUAUUCAAAGUAAGUUCCUUUGAGUAAUGGAGAAAGUCCGGUAAGGUCUUAUUUCGGCCUUUAAAUUCAAAGUACGGCUUGUAAAAGAUUUUUGACAUUUUAUUAAACCCUUGAGUGUCAACUUUAUUCGAUUCAAUUAGUUGUUGAUGACGAUUUAGACUGACCUAGUCAUUACAAACACUUAUAUUCAAGCUUAAAUAAGAAAAAUCCAUCAACUUUGCACAAUCGUGUUCUGCCUCAACAUAUGUAUGUGAUGUGUAUUAUCAUUGAAUGCACACACAUUUUUUUUUAAAUUUAAGGUCUAAUCACAAAUACGGUCACAUUCAUUUUAGACAAAACUGUCUGAAAAUUAACACAAAUAUUUUAAUUGAGGUGAUACCAGUAUGUUUGCAUGGAAUAAUGAUGCUAGUACCUGGUGUAUGUUCGUUGUUUUAUCAAAAACAGCCCAUAUUUAUGUAACAAAAGUAUUCUACCUUCCAAUUAAUAAUUAUUUUUUUUACAAUUCAACAAAUUUAUAAAAACUAUUAUUUGGGGCCAAAGGAAGUUUUACCGGGCCUACCUCUUUCGUCAGUAGAUUCUAAUUGUGUUUAUAUUGCUAAAUUGACUAUUAUCGAAGGUAUAAUUCGAACAAUAAUAAAUGUAUGUGUUCUUAAAAUUCAUAAAUAUAUAUGCAUGCAAUAGUUAUAGUUUCAAUUCAGUUCAUUUUUCUUGAAAUCUAGUACAAAAUUCCGGCUAAUCUGCAUGUUCGACUUAAGAACUGUCCAUUAAACUAACAACAGAUAUGUCCGCCAUGGAAGAGGGUCUUCAGCAAUACUGUGAAACUGUUUACUCGCGAAGUUGUAUUACGCAUAUAUAAUCUCAUCAGAGAUACCAGCAUUAAAUUUUGUAUUUACGCCAGACACGUGUUUCGUCUACAAAGGACUCAUCAGUGACGCUCGAAUCCAAAAAAGUAAAAAAGGCCAAAUAAAGUACGUAGUUGAAGAGCAUUGUGGACCAAAAUUUCUAAACGUUUUGCCCAAUACAGCUGAGGUAAUCUAUUCCUCAGGUAAGAAAGCCUUAGUGUUUGAAAAAGUUUGGUAAACAAUUAAUUUAUAAAUAGGACCAUAUCAAUGAUAAUCCAUGUCAGCACAGAAGUGCUGACUACUAUGUGGAUUCUCAAAAACUCUUAAAAACCCAUGGAUAAGCUUUUCUGCUGAAAUCGACACUUUUCAUUUUGUUAACCCUGUAACCACCAUUUCUCAAAACAAAAAUGAGAAAUCGUCUAAAAGAAAUAAUCCCUAAUGCUUUUCAGCAUAAAAAUGGAAGCAAACGCUCAAAAUUUAUUACGUUGGGAUACCAUACGGCUUAUUUUCUGAAUAAUGAACAAAAACGUUAAACAUAAUAAACAGAGGAACAAGUGAUCAGUAUGCUGGAGUUCCUUAUUGACCAUAUAUUUUUUGAAUUUGGAAGCAUACUUUUUCAACAAAUUGACAGCAUUCCUAUGGUAACGAACUAUGGGCGAUUUCUUACCGACCUUAUUUUGAUUUUCAUAUGAGUCGGAGCUUCUUCAGACUUUUGUCAAAAAAUAAACGCCAGGUUAUUUAAUUUCACAUUCAUAUACUAGUAUAUUGAUGGUGUUCUUUCAAUUAACAAUCCAAACUUUCCCGAUUGAGUUCUAGUAAUUCAUAUCCCCCAGAACUAAAAUAUGGAAUUAACAGACACGGUUUCUUCCGCCUCAUUUUUAGACUUUCAUCUACACAGUCAUCUCAGUACCAAUUUCUAUGUCAAAGGAGACAAAUGUUUUUUAAAUUCUAAAUUCCCUCCACCUAAGGAGCAAUAUAUUAUCUGCAGCUGCUUAUGGGAUAUACAUUUCCCAACUUAUUCGAUAUUAAGGAGCUUGCAUCUGCUACUCAAACUUUGUAAAUAGUUAUCAAAGGUACCAGGGUUAUAAUUUAGUACGCCAGACACGCGUUUCGUCUACACAAGACUCAUCAGUGACACUCAUAUCAAAAUAUUUAUAAAGCCAACAAAUAGAAAGUUCAAGAUCAUUGUUGUGUCAAAUACGGAUAAGGUAAUCUAUGUCUGGGAUAAGAAAAACCUUAGUUUUUAGAAAAGUUCAAAGAUUUAAACAGGAAAUUUAUAAAAAUGACCGCAUUAUUGAUAUUCAUGUCAACACCGAAGUGUUGACUACUGGGCUGGUGAUACCCUCGGAGACGAAACGUCCACCAGUAGUGACAUCGACCCAGUGGUGUAAAUAGUUAUCAAAGGUACCAGGGUUAUAAUUUAGUACGCCAGACGCGCGUUUCGUCUACAAAAGACUCAUCAGUGACGCUCGUAUCAUAAUAUUUAUAAAGCCAAACAAAUAGAACAUCACACGAGUGUCUGCUCAGAAAGUAAUUGAAUCAGGAGUAAAAAAAAAAACUUCAUCGUAUGAUAUACAAAGACCUUGUUAAUAAAUAUUCCUUAUCAACUUCACAAAUUAUACACCAUGGUCUUGCAGUAUAGAUUAUGUGUACUUACUGUGUUUAUCAUCUUAAUAACUUGUUAUAAAAAUCGUCAGUUUGUCAUUUUUAAUUUUACUUUUACUGUUUAGUAUAUUCCAUGUGAUAUCCAUUUGACGUGGCUCCGUACUUAUAUAUCCCGUCAUUUUGAUAGUGUGCUAUCGUAAACUACUGUAUUCUUGUCUUUCGAUUUUAUAUUUCUUUAUAACAAUUCAUUUGACGUGGUUCUGUACUUAAACAUAUUGUCAUUGUGUUAAUGUGCUAUGGUAAAAUUUUGUAUUCUUGUCUUUUAUUUUAUCUUUCGUUGUGUGUUUCUCUGUUACAAAUGACGUGGCUCUGUACUUGUACAUCCCGUCAAUUGUGUUAAUGUAAAUAAAAUAUCUUUAGUCUUUCAUUUUUUGCUAAUGUGCUUUGUCUAAUUGCCUUUUUGUGUUUCCUGGUUACAUAUUCGUAUGUUUUAAACCGAUUAAAAUUAUAACGCAAAGUUGUCUGCUGUACCCCAAUUGUUGACAUUUGUACCUACCGCGUCUGUUUAUUUUGUUUACACAUCGGUGUCAAUAUGAUAUAAUUUGAUGCAACUGUCAUGCAAGUGAGAGGUUAAGCUUGUUAUAAAAACAUGUUUUAUCAACCAUUUUAUACACAUGAAAAUUCCGGCACCAAGUCAGGAAUAUGACAGUUGUUAUUCAUUCGUUUGAUCAUGUGUUUGAGAUUUUUUAAUUGCCAUUUGAUUAUGGACUUUCCGUUUUGAAUUUUCCUUGGAGUUCGGUAGUUUUAGUGAUUUUACCUUUCAUGUUUUUUGUUUACCUUUUCAUGAUUUAUUGGUCAUCUAUGCGGCGUCACCCCUCCAUAAUUGAUUUUUACCGAAAAAUAAAGACUAAUGGUAUUAUUUUUUUUAAUUCUUACACGAUUUAUCUUUUACCUGACCUGUUUUAUUAUUUUAUUUAAACAAUAUGGGGUUGUUCAUUGGCCAAAAUUCGAAUGUGACGUCCCAUUUUCCUGCUUUCUCCUUAAUUUUCUAUUGUGACGUCAUGAAAAAAGGCGAUCAUGCCUGAUGACGUCACAUAUGAAAUCACUUCUCUUUUUAGAUUAUUCGGAAUGAAGAAUCGAAUUUGUCUGCAUAUUGUUUAAAAUCAUUGGAGAAACAUAAUCCAACACCAAAUAUUGUGCAAUCCGAUACUUAUUCAGAGUUGAAUUUUAAAUAUUUAUAAUGCUCGGCAAGCCGUGCGUUUUAAAUUUGCAAAUUUAACUAUCUCAAGUUGAUGUAUAUCGUAUCAAACUCGAUGUAGUGGCAUAAUCAAUAUAUAGCUGGGACUGUAUCUUGCAAUAAUUUGUGGGAUCCUUUACAAAAGAUAUUUCAGCUGAUCUAUAACAAUUCCAUCUUCAUGCCUAAUAUAUAUCAUGUAUUGUAUUACGACACUAGAUUAAAACUGACGAGGAAAGGUAACACCAAGCCACCGAAAGCUAUAUUAUUGUGGUCGAGUGGUCUAGCGCGUCGGAUAUAGUGCAGGCGAUUUGGUGUCAUGAUAUAUCAGAUGCAUGAGUUCGAAUCCAUUCGAGUGAAGAACAACACAAUUGGCAAAAGCAAAUUCACAGACCUAACAUUGUUGGGUUGAUUUUUAGACGAGUUAUAUAUAAUAUAUAUAUAAUUCGUCUAAACAUCAGCCCAACAAUGUAAGAUCUGUAAAUUUGCUUUCGCAAUUUUUAGUUCUUCCCUCACCGGGAUUCGAACUCAUACUACUGAGAUAUUUAUAAGCAAUUACAUUUGCGCCGCAUUUAUGACGUCACAAAUUCCUGAAAAUGGAAGCAAUUAGUGAACAUAAUUUAUAACUAAAAUUACUGGAUAUAUACAUGUACGAUGCGUUUCCAUUAAUUUACAUUAUUGCAGUUAGAUUUAUCUGAUAUUUAGGGCCUAUAUAUUGAGACAAUGAAUUAACUCCUUUCGGCUAGACUUUUUUUACACGUUAAAGGUUAAAUAAUAUUAAUUUUAAGGAAGAUAAAUAUGUGAUAAAGUCAAAAACAAGUAUAUGAUCAAUUCCUUACAUUUAUUAUGGAUAUUUAAUUAAUAGAGGAUUCCGUGUGGAAUUUUAAAAUUGUUUUGUGCAUGUUAACGUUACCAGUCUUGAUUGAUGCAAUUGGUAUUAUCUAGUUUAAUUUGGAAUGUUACACCAACAUGCAAAUAUAGACUCCAAGCGUACAAUAUAUACAUAGAUUUCAUACAAACAAAUUAUGUUGUUUAUGCGCUAUUUUUUUUUUUUAAAUUGAUGUAUUUAUAAGCUAAAAGACAAAGCAAAGCGUUUAACAUAGCAAAAAAAAACACCUCAUCCUUAUUAGUUCAUAUGUAGUUAGAAUGUUUGUUUACAUAGUACAGCAAACGUGAGCGUCGAUUAUCUCGAUUAUCUGGUUCAAAUCAAUAUAAUCAUUCUUAGUAGUAUGACGUGCUGUUUUCACUUCGUAAACAACAGUGUUGAAAUUCUCGAUAUAUCUAUAGCAAGCGCAGACUCAGAGAUGUACAAUAUAAUUGCUGACUUCAGAUACUUCCCACGAAAAUUCACACAUGCAAACGAUAUGGCGAUUUCGCUGUGUUUAGAAAUGCAAAUGGAAUAAAAAACACCUACAGAACAUUUGUCCUUUAUUUAUUUUCAGAUACUCAACGAUGAUACUGUUCUUAUUUGUCAAAUCCAUUGCAG